Molecule: unclassified non-coding RNA, 236 nt
Filed under: plant metagenome
Description: partial contains small subunit ribosomal RNA, internal transcribed spacer 1, and 5.8S ribosomal RNA
Source: RNAcentral
UUUCCGUAGGUGAACCUGCGGAAGGAUCAUUACUGAGUGAGGGCCCCUCGGGGUCCAACCUCCCACCCGUGUUUAACGAACCUUGUUGCUUCGGCGGGCCCGCCUCACGGCUGCCGGGGGGCAUCUGCCCCCGGGCCCGCGCCCGCCGAAGCCACCGGUGAACGCUGUCUGAAGUAUGCAGUCUGAGGCAAUUAUUAAAUUAAUUAAAACUUUCAACAACGGAUCUCUUGGUUCCG